UUUUUCCCUUUCCGCUUUUUCUCUUUCUCGGUGGUCUUUCCUUCCGUGUUUACCCUUUGCAAUCUGCAGCCCCGGAGACCCCCGCCGUACCUCGCGGCGCAGUGUAAAAGCAAUGCAGAGUAUCAUAACACCUCAGUAUAUCUGGAGAAAAGACACAUUAUCUUCUGGGAAUUAUGGUAUCAGAACUGGCACUGUGCUUUGUUUGAAGGACCUAUACCUAAGUGGACCCUACUGACCUGUGAACGACGAGGAAUAACAGUGAAAAGAAGUGUGAGAAGCACACAAAGAAAAAGGAAGUGGAGGCACUUUCAUUGGGACUUCUUUCCUGCCCUUUAUUACUAAUACUGAAUGGAAAAGAGAGAUUUAUGUGCCUUUAUUCCCCCAGCCUCAGGGAUGGGUGUAUUAUAAAUACGGUGUGUGCAGUUGGAAGAAUAGACUGAAUCAUGAAUCUUCAGGCUCAGCAAAAGUCUUCAACCAAAAGGACUGGGAAACGAAUGACUUAUUUUAAUGAGCAAGAUAUAACUGUGUCAUCAAAAGAGCCACAGCAGCAGCUUAAAGAAGGACAGUAUUAUGGUCAUGGAGGGAAUAUUCCAGCCUCCCAGACUAUGGAGAUUCCUCACACAGCAGGAUUAACGAGUGCCCCCAGCAAUGUUGCUUUGAUGAACUCAGUUUACAGUCAAGAUAGGGGAGAAUCAAUGAUGAUGUCCCAGCCAGUAACAGCUGUCAAAUGGCAGAAUUCUUUAAUGGGAAACAGGUUGCCAGAGAGAGGUGAUGCCCACUGGCAAUCUCCAUCUGCAAUGUGGAACCACAGUAUGGUUUUUGGAAGCAAUCCCAAAGGACCCCACACCAAUGCAGGUGCCCCAGGCUUCUAUGGUCACCCAGAAGCCCUUAAAAGAAAUCAAGAGAAAGGUGUAUUUGUGUCUCAGAUGGAUUUGUAUGAAGAUGCAGUUCAACAAAUGAUGUCCCAGAAGGCUCAGCUGGAGCAGCAAGCUCUAGUUAGACAGCAAGCACAAAUGAAUUCCUUUCAUCAGAUGCAGAAACAGCAGCAGCAGAAUCAAAGUCUGCCAUUACAGCCUUUUCAGCUUGCAUUUGGUCACCAAGGCCAGAAGCAAGGACUUCCUGAAUUAUUGCAUGUCUUUCAAGAAGCUCCAGCUUCUUCCACUCCAGCAUUUACUGCUCAACAAAAACAGCAAGCUCUUCCUCAGCUACAACUGUUUGAAAAUUUCUAUCCUCAGCAGCAGCAACAGGCUGCCACACAAGCUUUUGGUCUACAGCAAACUACUUCCAUAGCACAGCCUCAUGUUGCAGCUGCAGCACCUCAGCAUCACAUGAUGGCACACCAGUUUCAGCAAACGGAGAGGAACCAGGAACUAUUCAAGGCUCUAACAGAGCAGAACCAACAGACUGUUCUACCUCAGACCCAGAUUCCUUUUCCAAGAAGAUCACGGAGACUCUCCAAAGAAGGCGUCCUGAUGACAUCUACUGGAGAAGUGUUGGCUUCCAAGCAGGCAGAAGAACAAUCCGGCAAUUUAUUUCUCCAUCACUGGCAAGCACAUCAGCAAGAGGUCCCGGUACAGCAGCCGCUUGAGUCACUGACCCAUACCAAAAGCAGCUAUUCACAUCCCAAGAGAAUGGAUCAGGGGCAGAAGGAUGUCCUGGCCAACAGUGAACCAUGCCAGGUAGAAACAGACGGGCACACCAUCGCUCAGAAUGGCAGAGAUGCAGAGAAACAGACAUUAGCAGCAGAAGGAAACACUUCAAGAACUAAUGACUUUCAGGGUGUUAGAGGUGGUGUAAUACAGAGUACGCGAAGGAGACGGCGUGUUUCUCAAGAAGCCAAUUUGCUAACUUUGGCCCAAAAAGCCGUUGAGCUGGCUUCUCUUCAGAAUGUCAAGGAAUCAGAUACUUCAGAAGAGAAGAAAAGUGUGCUGGUAGCAGCUUCAGGACCUACAGCUGCUAAAAGUGUUGUGGAAUUUGCCAGUUCUUCACCAGCUCCCAAAAAAGCCCGGGAGGAUAGCAGCCUUGUGCCUCUUAUCAUUCCUGUAUCUGUGCCAGUGAGAAAAAUUGACUUGCAAAACCUUGAAAAAGAGAAGUCUGAGGAUGGGAAAUUCCAGAGAGGCCAAACAAACGAUCGAACUCCCUGUGAACGCAAGCCUUCUGUGAUAGUCACUCGGAGGCGAUCUAAUCGUAAUACUAACAUGGAAACCUCAAAUCAGCAUGAACAUGCUGUUCCAAAGGAUGAAGCAGAGGGCUUUGCCCGGAAACCAAAGCAGCGCCCAAGACCUGAGCCACUCUUCAUACCACCAAAAGCUGGCACCUUUAUUGCACCUCCUGUUUAUUCUAAUAUUACACCGUAUCAGAGCCACUUACGGUCACCUGUCCGUCUGGCAGACCAUCCUUCUGAUAGGAACUUUGAACUACCUCCUUACACUCCUCCACCAAUUCUUAGUCCAGUGAGAGAAGGAUCUGGGCUAUAUUUUAAUGCUAUCCUCUCUUCAAGUGGUCAUCCCGUUCCACCUCCAAUGACUCCUAAAAGUGCUCACAGAACUCUGCUUAGAUCAAACAGUUCAGAGGUUACCCCUCCCGUUCUUUCUGUGGUGGGAGAAGCCACCCCGGUCAGCAUUGAACCGCGUAUAAAUGUAGGAACUCGCUUUCAAGCAGAAAUCCCUUCACUCCAAGACAGAUCUCUAGCAGCAGCUGAUGAACAUAAAGCAGAGCUGGUGUGGCAGCCAUGGGACGACCUGGAAACCAACAGAGUCACCCAACAGAAUGUGGAAAGCCUGCUAGCUGCUGCCUGCUCAAGCAUUUUUCCUGGAGGUGGUACCAACCAGGAGCUGGCACUGCAUUUCUUACAUGAAGAAAAGGGAAGCAUUCUGGGAGCUCUGACCAAGCUGCUAUUGAAAGGGCCAGUACGAUCACCUACCCAUCCACUGGCAGAUUAUCACUACACAGGAUCGGACAGUUGGAAAAUUGCUGAAAAGAAGCUUUUCAACAAAGGCAUUGCAAUCUACAAGAAGGAUUUUUUCUUAGUCCAGAAGCUGAUAAAAACCAAGACAGUGGCUCAGUGUGUGGAAUUCUACUACACGUAUAAGAAACAAGUGAAAAUUGGUCGGAAUGGGACCUUAAUUUUUGGGGACAUAGAUGUUGCUCAUGAAAAGUCUGCACGAGAUGAAGCUGAAGUUGACAUCAAGAGCUCCCACAGGUUUGCACGUGUUCUUCCUCUCAGAAGGGACUUUUUCAGUGAAGAACAGGGGCACUUGGAAGAUGAAGAAGAGGAGGAAGAGGAGGCAGAGGAAGGGUUUGAUAACAGAAAGAAGAGCACGCUCCUUCUCAAAGAUGAACAGACACUACAAGAUGAUUUAAUAGCCAAUGAUGCCAAUAUAAGGAGUCGAGAGGCAACUGUUACAGGCAGAAUUGGAAGAAGGCCGAGGGAGACGACCAUGAAGCCUCGAAAGCUUAUUCCUGCUCCUGUGCAGAGAAGGCGGCGAAAACACAAGAUAAAAUCAGAUGUUACCAGUAAAAUCCAGAACACAGAAAACACAUUUCCAUGUAAAAAGUGUGGCAGGGUGUUCUACAAGGUGAAGAGCCGCAGUGCUCACAUGAAGAGCCAUGCAGAGCAGGAGAAGAAGGCAGCUGCACUGAAGCAGCAAGAGAGAGAGGCGGCAGCAGCAGCAGCAGAGGCGGCAGCAGCAGCAGCCCACAGCCAGGCCCAGCAGGAAGAGAGCAGUGAGAGUGGGGAAAGCAGCAGUGGAAGCAGCAGUGGGAGCUCGGAUGAAGAUGGAGAAAUAUAGCAGUGAGCUAGAAAUGGAGAGAGUAGUAAGGCUGGACCUAUCACCCUCUCAGUGGUUUCACGAUUUUUUUGCUUGUGCUUUUCUGACCUGAACCAUCAGGUCUCAGUUUCAGUGCUGCAGCCUCCUUGUGCCACACGUUCCACUUCACCUUGCCAGUACUGACCAAACCAGAGUGGCAGACAAGAAGAUUUUUUUCAGCUUGGAUUUAAAAAAAAAAAAAAUUCUAUUCUAUUUAUAAUCAUAUCUGAGGUACACAAUUAAGCAACGUCACCUGCAGUGGAAAAACACUGGUGGUGUGUCCAACCCAAGCAAGCAGUAAAUGAAGACAGCUGAAUUCUGCUUCUGAUGUUACGUAAACAGCUGCAGAGCUGAGGUGGCAUGAAGUGAGUUGGUGCUUGAAGGGUGUGUAUUACAUCUGAACUUCUGAAUAGUUGUAGGUGGGACAGAGGGCCGUACAUCCAGGCGAAAUACAUCUGGAACUGCUGGGAAAAGAGGUAAUGCUUCUUGCUGUUCAGGAAUUAAAUUGGCUACAUGUAGAAACAACGGUAGGUUGUAACUUAAAACCAGUUGUAAUUCAUAUUUUAUCAUAUUUUUCAUUCUUAAUGUUUAAAUAUACAUGUUAGUGAAUACUCUUUUAAAGGCAUGUGCCUGUUACGUGGAUCUAUAUAUAUAUGUUUUUUUAAUAUAGGUAUGGUAACAUAGCAUUGAUCUAGCUUAUUUCUCUGGUAGUAGCUGGAUUUCUUGCUGUGGGUUUUUAAAUAUCAAUAUCCUUCCCUCCAUCCUUCCCUCCAUCCUCAAAGCAAAGCUUCCUUUGUUUUGGAAGCUGGCUGUUUAUGCUGUUUAUUCACUCCUUCUAACGUGUAGGCAUGAAAGUUUUUAAAAGAUGCUACCUUGCAGUGAUUGUAGCAAUGUGCAUUGAUAGCUCACUGAUCCCCUACAAGCUCUCAGUUAGAAGCUAAGAAGGCAUACUCAGUAAUUUCUCCUUGUUUUUUUAAGCUGACGAACUUGUAUUUCCAGGAUGUUGGCAAGGAUGACAGGAAAAGGAUUUGGUCAAGCAGCAUAAGAGCCCCUGCUUCAGCUGACUCCUGCAGCUAUGGAUGUUGAUCAGCAAUAGCAUGUGAGGAAGUAAGUGGCAGUUAUUCAGAUGGCAAAGAAAAUAACGCACUUGCCUCACUAUCACAGCUUAUGGGCAAAAGUGUUACAGGCUGACUGCACUGCACUAAAACUGGGCAAACGAAAUUUGGAUGAUGGAAAGUUAACAAUGGUAAGUUUAGGGCAGUUUGGUUUUCAUCUUUUUAAAAUGGGUAGAUCCAAGGUUAUUUCAUCUACUGAGAGAACUUUAUAAAGCACUUCAGUGAUUUCUGAGCUCAAAUGCAUUUUGAAGGAGCAACAUUAUGAGGAAUUUUGCAGUAAUUCCCUAGACGUUUGUUUUUUCAGUAGGCCUACAGCUAUCAGUGCAGGAUGAUAUUCUUAUCCCUUUGAGGGUGACUACUGUGGGGUAGAAAGCUUUCUCAUUUACAUCAUUUACAUUUUCAUGAGUUUUUAAACUACAUUUCAGUGGCACUGUUUAUUGAAGGCUGAAGUUCCUAUUACAGAAGUUCAUUAAGCACCAACCUUCUCCUGAGCUGGCUAAAUGGAGUUGAUUGUGUAAUGCUAUUCCCAGAGCUUGAAUUCAAAGCAAACCUGUGAUUUUUGUACUGAAAAAAGACUUACCCUUAUUUAAUGUACUUGCAAUUUUUUUUACCCCAAAUAAAAAUAGCAGACUUUUCUCUUAGGAACUAACAACAAAUCUGACAACCAAUGUCUGUAUUAAAAGACUGAAAAAUAUUUAUGUAUCAGAUGACAACAAUCACAAUUAGAUCAACAUCUGUAAAGCCUAAAUUAUUUCCUAUCCUAAAAUAUAGAGGCAAUAAGAGACAGCAUUUCCAUACUAUAAAUACAUUGCUCCCUGAGCAGCUAGGAAAAGUUAAUGAGAACAAAAAUUAAUUUAUGAAAAUUCACCAGAAGCUGAGCCUAUUCCAUUACACAAUAGCCAAAGACUUUUUUUUAUAAAAUAGCAUUGUUAUUUUUAAACAAGUUUCACAUAAGUUCAUUUAUAAACGUAAGCCUAAAUAAUUUAAACACAGCAACUUUAACAGUUUGGUCAUGCUACAAAAUUACAGUAUACAAAAUGUCAUCAAAAGUAGAUGUUAAAAAGUGCUUUCUUGCUUGAAGAUUUUCCUAGAUGGAUCUACUUCUCUUGUAAUUUGAAUCAGCUGCUGGUUCUUGGGUCUCUUCUCACAUUUUUCCAGCCAUUUGAAAGAUAACCACUGCAAACAUCAUCUCUUUGAAGAGAGGUCUGUGCUAACAAGCAAGUAAAAUACCUAUUUUCUAUCUCUAAUUUAAUUGUAGGAUAUUUCUCUAUAUAAUUAAGUGGAUGCUAAUCCUCCAUAAUUUCUGUGGGAAAAGCAGAAUUCCACAUGGCUUGCAAGUUUUACAUGGGUGCUCUUCUCAUCCAUGAAUAAUAAUGUGCUUAGGACAUCAUUAGAUGUGGUGAGAUGUGGGGGCACAAAGAAUAAUACAGGAAGAAUUCUUUCAGCAUCCAACUGCUGCUCAGCUGCUCCCCUGGGCACACAGUCUCAUCUCUGAUAGUGUAUCUGUGAUGCAGUGCAGCUCCAUCUGCAUUGCAAAUCGGUUGCUUAAAUUCUAUCAUCUGUAUCUUCUACCACAUCCAGUGCAUAAAUUUUAAAGUGCAAAUUUUAGAAAUUGAUUGAAACUUAAUUUAUUUGGGGCUAGUAAAGUCCAUGGGAUUUUGAUUUGUGCUAGGCAGUAACCCACAAUUCAUCACAUAUAACAUUAAGCUAAAACUUAGAAAAGGGUUAACUUACAUGCAAAGGUUCUGCAGUAUGCAGGAGGGUGAAAGGCAAAGGAAAAGCUUCUAAGUUUACCUUGCUGCUGCUACAGUUGUGCUGAGACUGGAUGCCCUGUUCCUUUCAGUAACGAUUGCUUUGAUUUUCAUAUUUUUAACGUAGUUGCAAAAAAAAGAGAACUUGUGCUGUUAAUUUGUGAAAAGAGCUGAUGCCAACAGGCAUAUGCUGUACCCAGCUCUACCAACGAACAACUGCAAUAGUUAUUGCUGGACUGAUUAAUGUUAAUUAAUCCGUGGAGCCUCAACUUGUCAGUUACAAGAGCCAGGAACCUCUUGGAGGUUCCUCAAGCCUUGGCAACGGAACUAUCUCCACCUAGAAAGCUAAAAUUCUAUUCUGCUCUCAGAUUGUCCCACAAUAGUCAGAGUCUUUGCUGUAUCUAACGCUGCCUUUGUAAAUGUACAGAGUUAGACCAUAUUUAGAUAUUACAAAAUUAACCAGUAGGAUUAUGUAGCACUGGACAACAUUCUCAUCUCUGUCCUGUUUCUUCUGAGGAGCUAAUUAAUUUAUUUAAUUAAUUAAAGCGAUACGUACCGUAACUGCACACAUUGGUUUUUGAAGGUGCAGGGAUUUAAAUGCAUUGCCUCUUGGCCAGAAUCCAUGCAUAUAUUCUGCAUAUUCUAUCCUGAAAACAGCUGCACACACAUCUGAAAUUGGCUUCUCUAUUUGUUGCUAACAUUUGAAGUUCUCACUAUAAGCACACUUUAAUCACUUCAUGCAAGGGCCCAAGCCUAUUCCCUGUUGCUCUUCCACAAAAGCUGAGGUCAGUGAAGACCAUGUGUGCCCAUAAGCUAGGUGCUCCUUCAAAUCACAUCCACUUUUCCAAAGCUGAUUGACUGCAAGUGAACUGAGUUGGUUUUAAGAGGCCAACGUGAAAUGGUUGUUUGCUGUAUAAUACUCCCUCCCUGCGUGCUUCUUAAUCAGUGCUGCCUUUCCUAACGAGAAAGCAUAACACUAGAAGGAAUUACAAGAGACUACAAAAUCUGUAAAAUAAAUCCAGCUUCGGCCAUUGUUCUUCUGACCUUAUUUUAAGAAAUGGAUCUAAAUGAAACUCGAGACUUAUUUGCAUCUGCCAGUUUAAGUUGGAAUGCUUAAGCAUUUCUCUAAAAAUCACAGAAUAACAAGAAAGAAUAUAUUGAAACUAGGCUCUGCUUUCCUUGUAAUCUUCACGCCUUUUACUUAUCUAUUGAUGAGCAAUAGAAUUAUCUUCUACUAAAAUUACACCUGGAGCUUGAGAUCAGUAUCACUGUCGCCUGGGUCCCUUCCACCCCUUUAUCCCUGCCCAUGACUUUCCAGGAUAUCAACCCCUGCCACUCUUUCACAAACAAAAGUGGUGUUCUGAAUUUCGUCCCUUACAUGUCUGCUCUAAAACCUGCAAGCACACUUUUCUAGUUUAAACAAAGAUAAUGCACUGAAUUAGAAGAAAAACUUAAUAAAAACAAGCUGCCAAAAAAUCCACUUAGCUGAGUUCAUCUAUUUUCUAAAGGAAGUAAAGAGGAGGGAACAUUUUUUGCAUCCAACAGUGCAAUUAUGUCUGUCUUUAGCAUUACAUAAUGCUUUUCACUAAAAAUAGUUACCUGCCCUAUAAGGAGGUUCACUAAAACGGUUAACGUGCAACAGAGCAUGUUUAGUACAUCUUCAAUACUUAUUUUCCAAUACCCAUUUCCCACCUUGUCUCACCUUCCUCAGUAACCACGUACACAUUUCACUCAUCUGUGCUUUAGAAAAAAAAUUAGUAUCCCAAACCCAACAUUUUACAUCUCAAGCCCAGGUCUCUUGUUCACUGUUUGUUUCUGAGUUUGUUUCUGAGCCCACUUACAGUUACACGAAAAUUCCAGAGCUGAGAAGGAUUACGUCCAUCAAUGAGCCAAAACCAGACUGGGAACAGGAACCAGCUGUAGGCCAAUAGUCUACUUAUUCCAAUCAAAAUAAUUUAUGAAAAAGAGAAAAAAAGAUACUUUAGUCUCACUGAAACCAUGCAAAGAAUUCCCAUUGCCUCUUUAAAAUAAAUAACAUCAUAUAAGUUAUACAUGGCCUUCUAAGCAAUGAAGUUAAGAGUUCCAAUGCAAGAAGCCCAAUUCAAAACUUGCAGUCCAUAACAAGAGAUCAUGUGCCCAUUACCUUUCUUGUGCGUAUGUCCACAACUUCUGGGCCUAUUUGGCAUAAUACUUCAGGGGAUGAAAAGGCAAAUUCACAUACUUAAAAUAUUAAGGGAUUCCCAUAACAGGAUUAAACACAACAAAGUCUAUAACAUAGUUCUAAAAUGUAACAAUGGUGUUUCAACUGAAUGUUGGCGAGCUGCAUCUAACAAGCUAAAAUUGCUCUGUUGUAACACAAGAGCAAACAAUAAGCACCACUAGUCAGGAAUUAGGAAUAGCUAGGUAUUAGCUCAGGUAAAGAUCUCUCACUAACCAAACAAAAGAUGAACUCAACUCCACUGGUCUCUGCAGAAGGUGUCAGAAGCUUGACGAAACUGGUGUGCCUGAAGUUUGGUAAAUAACUCUUUGGGUAAGAGACUGUGGAGAUAAGCUGGUCUUAUAAAACUUGCCCAAAGCUUUUCUUCAAAACAAACAUUUAUACAAAAGUUCUAUGUGCUGAGCAAUCUGGAGAUAUUUAAAUUAUUAAACAACCAACGCAAAAGUCUCAUCAGUUUCCUCCUUCUUCUUCUUCUUCUUGCUUAAUAACAAGGGUACCUACAAGGAAAAAAAAAAGAAAAGAGAAGAUCUACAGCUUUAUGAAGAGAUUAUGCAGAGAAAGGUACAGUUAAUGGUGAUGUGCUUGAAAGCUAAUCUGGACUAUCAAAACUAGGAAAGAGUCAGGCUGUCAGAAAGAGGAAAUAAUUCUAUUUCCUGCUGCCGUCCAACUCCUGGCUCCACACAGGACCACCCUAAAAUCAGAACGUGUCUGAGAGUGUUGAUGCUUUGCAUUUCUUUGAUCUCUGGCAAGCUCAGUGCCAUGGCCACUUCUCUGGGGAAUUUAGUGACGUGCUAAAACUAUUUGGCUGGUUAAUUUCAAGAGUAAAGCCCAGCCUGUGGGCUGCACACCACGUGGACAACUUUUCAGAAGAUCCUGCAGCUGGUGCAGGAUUGCACAGAUGAGGUUUUGAGGUUACAAUUUAUUUCCCUGAUCUUUCUACUACGCUUGUCACUUCUUGUCACUUAGGUCAGUUGCCUCGUGCCCCAAACUUACCAUCCAGCUUUUUCAGCUUGGGCAGCCGUUUGGUUGCUUCUUCAAUCCAGUUGUUCUUCUGAUCAGAGGCGUAUUUCUCUUGCAGUGGAUUGCCUACAAACACCAGAUCCUCUAAUAAUGGCAGCUCUGCCAGUCUCGCAAACUCUGCUGCAACCACAAAUAUGAAAACAGUAACCAGAUUAUGAGCAAGGAAAGGACAUCUGCACCAAACCUUCCUUUCAAACUCCACGCACACAUAAAUAGCUUGGGAUACAAACAGAUAGGGAUCAUUUGGACUUGAACUGGGAACAGGUUAAGGAACAAGUACACAUUUCAAAAGAAGUCCAAGCAAAGCGAUUCAAAGAACAAACUCCAUUGGGCUUAGAGUUUAAAUUCAAUUUCCUAUUUUUAAUUUCUUGCAUGAAUUAUUUAGGGAUUCUGUGUACUUCUGCAGGCUUGUCAGUAAAACUUAAGCCCCAGGACAUGGAGAGCUAUUUUUUAUCUUGCUUAUUCAUGCAUUCACCAUAAUUUGUAGGAAGCUGCACAAUAGACUGGAAUGGCUUACCCCAGUCUUUCACCAAAUUAUUGGACAUGUAAAGAACCUUCAGCUUCUUCAUUACACGGAUACCCCUCAGUUUCUCAAUGAAGUUGUAUGAAAUCCACAGCUCUUCUAGCGUAUCUCCAACUGCUUCCUGGAAAAUGACAGAGCUAAUCAGGUGUCCUCUACUGACAAGAAAUUGAGAAUAACUGGAGGUCUGAAACUCUGAAUCACGGCGAAGACUGACAUGUGGGAGCCAGAAGCUCACGUAGCAGAAACACAUUCUUAAAAUCUCUGACAGAAAUCUCCUUUCCUCUUCGCUCAGAAAACUCAGAACUCACACCCAUCUCGCAGCACAAACUGAGAAGGCAGGGAAGUGCAUUCUGGGCGGAAAUCUCAACAGCACUUUCCUCAGAUCUUCCCUCAGCUUUAACCAUUUUUAUAGCUCCCAUGUAUUCCUCCUCCUGAAAUGGGAGCUGUGACUGCUGCUCCCCUGAGGUGGCGCUAGCGCUCAGCCUCAAGCCCGUAACUCAGCUCUACCUCCUACAGAACACACAUGAAAAGAGAAACUGAUUACACUCUUCCAAAAAAAGGAAGAAAACAAAACAACAACAAACAGUGUAGGACAGAAAGGAGAGAGCUCUGAGUCUGGACUGAUAAUAUUCCACCUUUGAAUCAAAGGCCAAUUAGAAAUAAGAGAAAUUGCAGUGUAAAGUAAUAAAUCCUGAUAGUUCACAGAAUUCUCUAAACAAACAAAAAAAUCCCUUCUAGUUAGUCAUUAGAAAGGAGUGGUAGAUUUCACGCUUCAGAGAGUACAUUAGAAGACAGAUUUUCUAUUUACAACUAAAGUUGGUGACUUUCUUAAAUUAAGAUUAGAUUAAAUACAGAGUUCAGAGAUUUGGAAGAAUUGCCGUAACUGCAGCAUUUGGGUGUGUUUAUUAAAAAAAUACACCCUGUGAAAUCUUUUAAAAUUCCAAAGUGAUGGUAAUUAUCCACUCAAGACUUGGAGCGAGUAUCUUUUCCAGCAGUAACACCAGUUGUGACAGCUGCUUCCCUGACAGCACAAAGGGAACGUUCUGUCGAUUCACUCGGCGCUCAGUGGGAAGACUGGAGCUCUGUUAACAAAGGAGAAAUCUGUUCUGUUUUCAAAACAAGGAGUCUUGUUUUCUCCCCCAUUUUUAUGCAGCUAAUGAAAAGUGAGAGAGCUGAGGUCGGUUUUAUAUCUUUACUUGAGAAGAAAAUGAAUUGCUUCCCAGAAACAUGUAAGAAUAGCACAGCACACAAGAUCAGACAUCAUUUUGUCUUACGUGCCUAAAAUACUUCAGGCAACUUAAUUUAAUAGAGCAUUAUUAUGUUGCCAUGUUUCACUAAAAAUUCCAACCUCUGUCCAAAUUCAGUACGAUAGGAUUUUUAUUCAUAAUUAGCAAUUUAGUAAACAAGUGCGCCACACGCUUUUCUAGAAUAUGGUGAACUGCUCAAACUGAGUCACUACACAAACUUGAAACUUCAAUUUCCUUUGCUAACGACAAGGACAACCGUGUAUCUAUCUGCAUUUAGCCUUGGCUUAUAAUCUUAUAGUCACCUUAAACCAACAGACAAAAUUACAUUAUCUCUUAAAACAGGACAGAGAGGGAGCCCCUAACAUGGCCUGUGGUGGAGAGUGUGCAGCUGAAGAAAGAAGAUUCUUCCAGGCUGCAACCCACCUCUGAAACAAACCUCAGGUGGAAUACCACCAUAAGCACUGAGAAACCACAGGUAGAAGAGCACUUUUUUUAAGCACAGGCUACCUGGUUGCCAACUUGAAGUUGCUUUGAUUUAAUUCAUUUCAUUCUGACUGUAGAACACAGGUAAACCAUUAUGCCAAAGGGAAGAAAUACAUCUGGAAUGCAACACAACAGCAGAUCCAAUGUUAUAAAUCACACGGACACACAUUAGUAGCAGGACGGAAAAUUUUCCUCCUCCAAAACAACAUGAACAGGACAGCACACUCAGCACUUUGUAGUAAACAUAAAUGGAAACUCGCUGACAUGGAUCUACUGCUUCUGAGAGACACAUGACAAAGGAGCAAAUGUGAAAUAAAUCUUUAACAGAAAACAUGAAGUUCAGGUUUUGGAGGGCAGAAAGAGUGAGAAAGGAAAAGGAAAAGCACUUUAAAAAAAACCUCAGCUCAUAUCUCUAGCAAUAGAAACAUCUGUAAGCUGUUGUGUUCUCACCAAGGGAGCAAGAGUGAAGUUUGUGGGUGAAAAUAAAAAUAAAUGUGAAAGACUGAAGGUACUAAA
Centrocercus urophasianus (Greater sage-grouse) is the source of this 12682-nucleotide RNA transcript. It is a transcript of the gene named mitotic deacetylase associated SANT domain protein, with no coding region annotated. Lineage: Eukaryota; Metazoa; Chordata; Aves; Galliformes; Phasianidae. The transcript is spliced from 16 exons. The record is from RefSeq and is a predicted model, not a curated record.